UGUUUGGUGGCUGAGUUUAAAGCGGUAGACUGUAGAUCUAUUAACGGAAUUAGGUUUCCCCAACAA
RNAcentral lists this transfer RNA (66 nucleotides) under Conus betulinus. Its description in RNAcentral is "tRNA-Tyr". It matches the Rfam family "tRNA". From Rfam's summary of the family: Transfer RNA (tRNA) molecules are approximately 80 nucleotides in length. Their secondary structure includes four short double-helical elements and three loops (D, anti-codon, and T loops). The record is from RNAcentral. Lineage: Eukaryota; Metazoa; Mollusca; Gastropoda; Neogastropoda; Conidae.